This 460-nucleotide ribosomal RNA is filed under the name uncultured bacterium. RNAcentral describes it as "partial 16S ribosomal RNA". It matches the Rfam family "Bacterial small subunit ribosomal RNA", at positions 338 to 795 of the family's 1533-position model. The record is from RNAcentral.
CCUACGGGAGGCAGCAGUGAGGAAUAUUGCACAAUGGACGAGAGUCUGAACCAGCCAUGUCGCGUGAAGGAUGACUGCCCUCUGGGUUGUAAACUUCUUUUAUAAAGGGAUAAAACGAGGCACGUGUGCCUUUUUGCAUGUACUUUAUGAAUAAGGAUCGGCUAACUCCGUGCCAGCAGCCGCGGUAAUACGGAGGAUCCGAGCGUUAUCCGGAUUUAUUGGGUUUAAAGGGAGCGUAGAUGGGUUGUUAAGUCAGAUGUGAAAUCUUGGGGCUCAACCGUAAAAUUGCAAUUGAUACUGGCAGUCUUGAGUACAGUUGAGGGAGGCGGAAUUCGUGGUGUAGCGGUGAAAUGCUUAGAGAUCACGAAGAACCCCGGUUGCGAAGGCAGCUUACUAAACUGUGACUGACAUUGAUGCUCGAAAGUGUGGGGAUCAAACAGGAUUAGAUACCCCUGUAGUC